This 500-nucleotide long non-coding RNA is filed under the name Mus caroli (Ryukyu mouse). RNAcentral describes it as "lncRNA (MGP_CAROLIEiJ_G0002821.1)". The record is from RNAcentral. Lineage: Eukaryota; Metazoa; Chordata; Mammalia; Rodentia; Muridae.
GCGGCCGCUACGUCAGCGCCCCGGGUGGCGCCGCCUCCGCCCGCCGGCCUGGGCCCCGCUCCCGCCGCCGGGAAGGCGGGCCGCGGUAGAAGCUGGGGGCUGCCUUGCUUCCUCUUACGAUCCGGUGAAUUUCCCCGAUGCUCCGGCAAAAGUCAGGGGACCCGAGAGUAAACUGUUUGUUGUAGGACACAACUUACCUGGCAUUGGUGCCGCCCAGGACCCCUUAUUACAACCCAUAGACCCCCAAACCUUAGGAGCGGAGGACAGUCCAGUCUGUACAUCAGCUGUGUUCCUGGUGCACGUGGAGGCCAGAAGAGAGUGUCAGAUCUUCUUAGGCUGGAGAUGCAGACUCAUGUGAGCUGCCAUGUGAGUGCAGGACUUGAACACAGCAGCCAAAUACUUUUAAACCCUGAGCCAUCACUUCAGCAUCUCCCCAGCACCUUCUUUAAAACAGUCUCUUGUAACCAUAACUGAAAACUACCUUGAAGCCUGAAUACUCC